AGAGUUUGAUCCUGGCUCAGGAUGAACGCUAGCUACAGGCUUAACACAUGCAAGUCGAGGGGCAGCAUUUUAGUUUGCUUGCAAACUAAAGAUGGCGACCGGCGCACGGGUGAGUAACACGUAUCCAACCUGCCGAUAACUCGGGGAUAGCCUUUCGAAAGAAAGAUUAAUAUCCGAUAGUAUAUUAAAACCGCAUGGUUUUACUAUUAAAGAAUUUCGGUUAUCGAUGGGGAUGCGUUCCAUUAGUUUGUUGGCGGGGUAACGGCCCACCAAGACUACGAUGGAUAGGGGUUCUGAGAGGAAGGUCCCCCACAUUGGAACUGAGACACGGUCCAAACUCCUACGGGAGGCAGCAGUGAGGAAUAUUGGUCAAUGGACGAGAGUCUGAACCAGCCAAGUAGCGUGAAGGAUGACUGCCCUAUGGGUUGUAAACUUCUUUUAUAUGGGAAUAAAGUAUUCCACGUGUGGGAUUUUGUAUGUACCAUAUGAAUAAGGAUCGGCUAACUCCGUGCCAGCAGCCGCGGUAAUACGGAGGAUCCGAGCGUUAUCCGGAUUUAUUGGGUUUAAAGGGAGCGUAGGUGGAUUGUUAAGUCAGUUGUGAAAGUUUGCGGCUCAACCGUAAAAUUGCAGUUGAAACUGGCAGUCUUGAGUACAGUAGAGGUGGGCGGAAUUCGUGGUGUAGCGGUGAAAUGCUUAGAUAUCACGAAGAACUCCGAUUGCGAAGGCAGCUCACUAGACUGCAACUGACACUGAUGCUCGAAAGUGUGGGUAUCAAACAGGAUUAGAUACCCUGGUAGUCCACACAGUAAACGAUGAAUACUCGCUGUUUGCGAUAUACAGUAAGCGGCCAAGCGAAAGCAUUAAGUAUUCCACCUGGGGAGUACGCCGGCAACGGUGAAACUCAAAGGAAUUGACGGGGGCCCGCACAAGCGGAGGAACAUGUGGUUUAAUUCGAUGAUACGCGAGGAACCUUACCCGGGCUUAAAUUGCAUUUGAAUAAUCUGGAAACAGGUUAGCCGUAAGGCAAAUGUGAAGGUGCUGCAUGGUUGUCGUCAGCUCGUGCCGUGAGGUGUCGGCUUAAGUGCCAUAACGAGCGCAACCCUUAUCUUUAGUUACUAACAGGUCAUGCUGAGGACUCUAGAGAGACUGCCGUCGUAAGAUGUGAGGAAGGUGGGGAUGACGUCAAAUCAGCACGGCCCUUACGUCCGGGGCUACACACGUGUUACAAUGGGGGGUACAGAAGGCAGCUACCUGGCGACAGGAUGCUAAUCCCAAAAACCUCUCUCAGUUCGGAUCGAAGUCUGCAACCCGACUUCGUGAAGCUGGAUUCGCUAGUAAUCGCGCAUCAGCCAUGGCGCGGUGAAUACGUUCCCGGGCCUUGCACACACCGCCCGUC
RNAcentral lists this ribosomal RNA (1396 nucleotides) under uncultured bacterium. RNAcentral's name for it is "bacterial SSU rRNA". It matches the Rfam family "Bacterial small subunit ribosomal RNA". The record is from RNAcentral.